GGAAAAUAAAGGAGCUGGGGAUUCCUGCAAGGCCCUGGGAGGGUCUACAGGUGGAGCUGCCCACCUCUGGAGGCCAGAGGCAGCCUCAGCCAGCAAGUAGGUAUGUCCCAGAGGGGAACAGGGCAGGGCUAAGGAACAACUCAAGUGGCCUAGAGCUUGAGAAAAGUCAACAGCGUGGGCACCAGGGAGCUGAAAGCCGCCUCCUCAAAGCCACCCCGUGUUAACCCUGUGUUAGCAUCUGUGUCUUCUGGGAAUUGUUUCACAGACGCUGUUUCACUUGAACCAGCACAGAAACUCUGCUAAGCCAGCCGUGAUCACAGUCUCUGUUUUCCUAGACAACCUGGGUGAUAGCCUGGUGCCAGUUACCAGUGACUGCCUCUCAGCCCCGAAUUUGCUGUCAAGGUCCAGAGGGAGGGUUUCCCAGGCGCUCUGCACAUUCAGACCACAGGGACUUCACCACUGUCUCACCUGCUCAGUGAUGUCCGGAUCUUGUGUUGGGGAGAAAGAAACUCUUUGGCCUCUCUCAGAACCCAAGAAAGUAAAAAACAAAAACUAAGGAACGUAACAUAAAGAACAGCCAGUGCUCCUGCCCCUGGAGUACGGCAUCCAGGGAAGACACAACUACCAGUUAAGAUCCAGACCUUGUUGGGGAAGGGGCCCAGCAGUGGCACAAAAGUACCCCUGUACUCUGAGACGGGGCUGUGGCUCAGCGGCAGAGCACUUUGCCUGGCAUGUGUGAG
This 740-nucleotide long non-coding RNA is filed under the name Marmota monax (woodchuck). Lineage: Eukaryota; Metazoa; Chordata; Mammalia; Rodentia; Sciuridae. The record is from RNAcentral.